RNAcentral lists this long non-coding RNA (388 nucleotides) under Rattus norvegicus (Norway rat). RNAcentral's name for it is "long non-coding RNA NONRATT018522". The record is from RNAcentral. Lineage: Eukaryota; Metazoa; Chordata; Mammalia; Rodentia; Muridae.
GCGAGAGCUCGCCCGCCAGAAGAACAUGAAGAAGCAGAGCGACUCGGUUAAGGGAAAGCGCCGAGAUGAUGGGCUUUCUGCUGCCGCCCGCAAGCAGAGUGCCCCAUCAUCUCUACCCCCAGGGACUCGGAGAUCAUGCAGCAGAAGCAGAAAAAGGCAAACGAGAAGAAGGAGGAACCCAAGUAGCUUUGUGGCUUCGUGUCCAACCCUCUUGCCCUACGCCUGUGUGCCUGGAGCCAGUCCCACCAUGCUCGAGUUUCUUCCUGUAGUGCUCACAGGUCCCAGCACCGAUGGCAUUCCCUUUGCCCUGAGUCUGCAGCGGGUUCCUUUUGUGCUUCCUUCCCCUCAGGUAGCCUCUCUCCCUCUGGGCCACUCCUGGGGGUGAGGG